CCUACGGGGGGCAGCAGUGAGGAAUAUUGGUCAAUGGACGAGAGUCUGAACCAGCCAAGUAGCGUGAAGGAUGACUGCCCUAUGGGUUGUAAACUUCUUUUAUAUGGGAAUAAAACGUUCCACGUGUGGGAUUUUGUAUGUACCAUAUGAAUAAGGAUCGGCUAACUCCGUGCCAGCAGCCGCGGUAAUACGGAGGAUCCGAGCGUUAUCCGGAUUUAUUGGGUUUAAAGGGAGCGUAGGUGGAUUGUUAAGUCAGUUGUGAAAGUUUGCGGCUCAACCGUAAAAUUGCAGUUGAAACUGGCAGUCUUGAGUACAGUAGAGGUGGGCGGAAUUCGUGGUGUAGCGGUGAAAUGCUUAGAUAUCACGAAGAACUCCGAUUGCGAAGGCAGUUCACUGGACUGCAACUGACACUGAGGCUCGAAAGUGCGGGUAUCAAACAGGAUUAGAUACCCGUGUAGUC
RNAcentral lists this ribosomal RNA (460 nucleotides) under uncultured bacterium. Its description in RNAcentral is "partial 16S ribosomal RNA". It matches the Rfam family "Bacterial small subunit ribosomal RNA", at positions 338 to 795 of the family's 1533-position model. The record is from RNAcentral.